UAGUAUAGCAUCUAUACGGUGAAACUGCGAAUGGCUCAUUAAAUCAGUUAUCGUUUAUUUGAUAGUACCUUACUACAUGGAUAACCGUGGUAAUUCUAGAGCUAAUACAUGCUAAAAACCCCGACUUCGGAAGGGGUGUAUUUAUUAGAUAAAAAACCAAUGCCCUUCGGGGCUCCUUGGUGAUUCAUAAUAACUUAACGAAUCGCAUGGCCUUGCGCCGGCGAUGGUUCAUUCAAAUUUCUGCCCUAUCAACUUUCGAUGGUAGGAUAGUGGCCUACCAUGGUUUCAACGGGUAACGGGGAAUUAGGGUUCUAUUCCGGAGAGGGAGCCUGAGAAACGGCUACCACAUCCAAGGAAGGCAGCAGGCGCGCAAAUUACCCAAUCCCGACACGGGGAGGUAGUGACAAUAAAUACUGAUACAGGGCUCUUUUGGGUCUUGUAAUUGGAAUGAGUACAAUUUAAAUCCCUUAACGAGGAACAAUUGGAGGGCAAGUCUGGUGCCAGCAGCCGCGGUAAUUCCAGCUCCAAUAGCGUAUAUUAAAGUUGUUGCAGUUAAAAAGCUCGUAGUUGAACCUUGGGCCUGGCUGGCCGGUCCGCCUCACCGCGUGCACUGGUCCGGCCGGGCCUUUCCUCCUGGGGAGCCGCAUGCCCUUCACUGGGUGUGUCGGGGAACCAGGACUUUUACUUUGAAAAAAUUAGAGUGUUCAAAGCAGGCCUAUGCUCGAAUACAUUAGCAUGGAAUAAUAGAAUAGGACGUGUGGUUCUAUUUUGUUGGUUUCUAGGACCGCCGUAAUGAUUAAUAGGGAUAGUCGGGGGCAUCAGUAUUCAAUUGUCAGAGGUGAAAUUCUUGGAUUUAUUGAAGACUAACUACUGCGAAAGCAUUUGCCAAGGAUGUUUUCAUUAAUCAGUGAACGAAAGUUAGGGGAUCGAAGACGAUCAGAUACCGUCGUAGUCUUAACCAUAACUAUGCCGACUAGGGAUCGGGCGAUGUUAU
Molecule: ribosomal RNA, 994 nt
Filed under: Leotiomycetes sp.
Lineage: Eukaryota; Fungi; Ascomycota; Leotiomycetes
Description: SSU rRNA
Rfam family: Eukaryotic small subunit ribosomal RNA
Source: RNAcentral